GGGGGGCCACCAGGUGGCGCGUUGGAAGAUGGCCGACAAUAACAUCUCUCUGACCCAUACGAGGUACUAAGGGGCUACUAUGGGAAGUAUGUAGCCUUCCUGAACUCCUCCAGGAUGUGGAGGAGAACUGCCCUGCCAGCGGUGUUCACAAUGCACCCCUGAAACGAGUGAUGGGGUGCCGAACACUUGGCAAAAGGCCCUCGGUGAAGUCAGACCUUCCUGACGCCGAUUCCAAUUAGCGCGUGCUGGUUGCUUCAGCUGGAAUUAUAAUUGGAAACAUACGAUUGGAAACGAAGCUGAAAGCACAUACAUCAAGUAAAGCUCGAAGAUAAGACUGCUGAUUAAUGGAUCUCUGCGACCAGGAGUGACGGAUGGAUAAGUAAAUCUUCUGAUGAAUCACCAUAAGGAGACUGUAUGUUUGGAACGAAGGGGGGGUGGAGGAAAAAACUCUUUUUUUCUUUGCAUGAUGUGACAUUAAUAACCCUUCACCCCAGAUAGAAACAAGAUUGUCGCGUUUCUAUGAAUCACAGGCAGGAUUUUAAGAACUAUGUGGGACGGAAAGAAGACUGCAGAACGGUGAGAAAGGAAGAAAUUUUUUAUGACGCAGUUAAAAAAUGGCGUCUCGCCAUGAUAGGUUUACCGAGGAAGAAGGACUGGGGGAGGAGAAUCAGGAUUGUUUGAAAGAGAAGGAAUGUUGGAAUGUAAGUCUGACCUGACAGAACCCCCAGACUCAUUUGUUAUUUGGUAAGCCUGAGAAAAAUAAAGGACAGAUCGGAGAUUAACUUUGUUUAUGGAAGCGUUGUACAGAGGCUGUCCCGGAUCGAUAUGAUUUUUGGAAAAGUACAAAAUCCACAUAGAAUGCCAGCUGUUAUCCUGCUUGUGAAAAUCAUCAGAGAU
This is a non-coding RNA of Podarcis lilfordi (Lilford's wall lizard), 897 nucleotides long. The record is from the annotation of a GenBank genome assembly. Lineage: Eukaryota; Metazoa; Chordata; Lepidosauria; Squamata; Lacertidae.